GUGGGGAAUCUUGCGCAAUGGGCGAAAGCCUGACGCAGCCAUGCCGCGUGAAUGAUGAAGGUCUUAGGAUUGUAAAAUUCUUUCACCGGGGACGAUAAUGACGGUACCCGGAGAAGAAGCUCCGGCUAACUUCGUGCUAGCAGCCGCGGUAAUACGAAGGGGGCUAGCGUUGCUCGGAAUUACUGGGCGUAAAGGGCGCGUAGGCGGACAGCUUAGUCAGAGGUGAAAGACCAGGGCUCAACCUUGGAAUUGCCUUUGAUACUGGCUGUCUUGAGUUUGGGAGAGGUGAGUUGAAGUCCGAGUGUAGAGGUGAAAUUCGUAGAUAUUCGGAAGAACACCAGUGGCGAAGGCGACUCAUUGGCCCAAUACUGACGCUGAGGCGCGAAAGCGUGGGGAGCAAACAGGAUUAGAAACCCUGGUAGUCC
This 425-nucleotide ribosomal RNA is filed under the name uncultured bacterium. Its description in RNAcentral is "partial 16S ribosomal RNA". It matches the Rfam family "Bacterial small subunit ribosomal RNA", at positions 354 to 796 of the family's 1533-position model. The record is from RNAcentral.